Molecule: ribosomal RNA, 302 nt
Filed under: Salmonella enterica subsp. enterica serovar Infantis
Lineage: Bacteria; Pseudomonadati; Pseudomonadota; Gammaproteobacteria; Enterobacterales; Enterobacteriaceae
Description: partial 16S ribosomal RNA
Source: RNAcentral
AAAUUGAAGAGUUUGAUCAUGGCUCAGAUUGAACGCUGGCGGCAGGCCUAACACAUGCAAGUCGAACGGUAACAGGAAGCAGCUUGCUGCUUYGCUGACGAGUGGCGGACGGGUGAGUAAUGUCUGGGAAACUGCCUGAUGGAGGGGGAUAACUACUGGAAACGGUGGCUAAUACCGCAUAACGUCGCAAGACCAAAGAGGGGGACCUUCGGGCCUCUUGCCAUCAGAUGUGCCCAGAUGGGAUUAGCUUGUUGGUGAGGUAACGGCUCACCAAGGCGACGAUCCCUAGCUGGUCUGAGAGG